CAGGAAAAUUGCUUUUCUAUUUAAAGCUGGGGUUAAAGUAUUGAUUUUGAAUAUCGCCAGAAAAAUAUGUAACAAACAAAGGGAUUUCUGCUGCUUUACUGGAUUAGUUUUGCACCUACUUAAACAAUUUUGCACCUAUAUAAACUCAUAGUUGUAGUCACAUUUACAAGAUGUGUAAAAAAAAAAAGCAGAUUGGGCCUGGUUUCUAUGACUUGUUGCUCAAAAUGAGAGUAACACAAGAAGAAAAGUGAACAUGAAUAGGGACAAUUAAAAUGGCUUUUUGGUUAACACAUUGCUAAGGAAAAAAAAACUAACUGAAAGACUAUGCAAUGGAAAGCCAUCAAUGACAAUAAUCUAAUUUUUCAGUGAGGAGUGUUGUGCUUUCAGCUCCCAAAACUCAGACAGUCUGAUUUUCCCUUUCAGCUGUACAAGUUCUGUUGUCUAGAGACAGAUAAAUAACUGGACUGGACCAGGCAAGUGAGGGUGAAAAGGGAGAGAAAAAUCAAUGACCUUGACCUUUAUUUUAUCAAGAUUGUAUACUAUGUCCCAUCUUUAUUUAGAGAGAUGAUUCAGAUGUUCCUGUACAUUUUUUUCUAACAAUUUCAUUUCCCCCUUGUAUAUUCUUAGGUAAAAAAACAGAGAAAUCUCACCAACAGCCAAAGAAACGUGGACUGGUACCAGGAAAUAUCUGGAAGCAUGAAAAAAAAAAAAAAUCUGUUUUUCUAGUAAUGUUCUUUCUCUGGGCAGUACGUAUGUGUGCCACUAGAUGUCCUGGCAGCAUCAGCUCUUACACCACCGGAGCUACAACACAGACCACCUCGGAAACCUGGGGAGUUCUGACUCCUGCGAAACAGCUGCAGCACAGGCUGUCCUGCAGAUAACAAGUAUCAGGAGCACUUUGACUGCUAGAGUGAUUGAGAAAUUCCCCUAUAAUUCUGAGAUUUGGUUCACCUGCAGAGCCUUUUUUUAGUCUGAGAAUGUUGCUUUGGGGAGCUCCCUUCAGAACCUUCCAUCAGAAGGAGAGUCAUCCUUAGCCCGAGGAAGAUUUCUAGCAAUCAGGGAUUUGUUUUUAUGCAACAGAAUGGAAAUUUUCUGAAGAUCUUUAUUUUUUUUUCAAUAUUUCUUCACCAUCUAUUAUCUACAGGUUAUUGUAGUACCUGUAAGUUCCCCAAUUACCUAUACCAAAUGAACAAAAAGUAGAAUUUAUAGCAUGUUUACUUUAUUUGGCUAUGCGUUUUUCUAAGAAUUUGUAUGUUAAAAUAUGUAUGUACUUAAAUUUACAUCUCUAUCAAGAUACAAAGUGCUUCUGACUGUCAUUAAUAAGCUGUAACAAUAAUUUUCCUUGUGACAUUGAUUUGUUUCAUUGUGUCCACACAAGAUCACUUUGCUGUAAGGCUGCUGCUCCCAGUACAUGCACUUGUUCUUAGGCUGGAUAUCUUUUUUCUUUACUCCUUAAUUGUAAUUAAACAUGUAUUUAGAACUCAUCACAGAAUGAUUUUUUUUUUAAGUGUAUCAUGAAGAAUUAUUGACAUCGGAUGGAAGAUAUCUGCAGUGUCAGGAAAUCAUGGUGGAGGAGCAGUCUGCAGGUACAGCUCAGCACGGGAUGAACCAGAUUGCCAUUUCAUGGCAAAUUUAGAACAUAUUUUGUGAGCCAGGGUGCAGGUGUGGAGUGGGGAGGUGAGCAAGAUAACACAGACCCAGGGCAGCAG
RNAcentral lists this long non-coding RNA (1709 nucleotides) under Taeniopygia guttata (zebra finch). Its description in RNAcentral is "lncRNA (ENSTGUG00000021530.1)". Lineage: Eukaryota; Metazoa; Chordata; Aves; Passeriformes; Estrildidae. The record is from RNAcentral.